GAGUUUGAUCUUGGCUCAGAACGAACGCUUGCGGCGCGCCUAAUACAUGCAAGUCGAACGAGAAAAUAUCUUCGGAUGUGAGUAAAGUGGCGGACGGGUGAGGAACACGUAGAUAAUCUGCCCUAGAGAGGGGAAUAACUACUCGAAAGAGUAGCUAAUACCGCAUAAGACCACAAUUCCUUCGGGAAAAGGGGUUAAAGGAGCAAUUCGCUCUAGGAUGAGUCUGCGUCCGAUUAGCUAGUUGGUAGGGUAACGGCCUACCAAGGCGACGAUCGGUAGCUGGUCUGAGAGGAUGGCCAGCCACACUGGAACUGAGACACGGUCCAGACUCCUACGGGAGGCAGCAGUAGGGAAUAUUGCACAAUGGACGAAAGUCUGAUGCAGCGACGCCGCGUGAGUGAUGAAGGCCUU
RNAcentral lists this ribosomal RNA (411 nucleotides) under uncultured delta proteobacterium. RNAcentral's name for it is "bacterial SSU rRNA". It matches the Rfam family "Bacterial small subunit ribosomal RNA", at positions 9 to 418 of the family's 1533-position model. The record is from RNAcentral. Lineage: Bacteria; Deltaproteobacteria.